CCUACGGGAGGCAGCAGUGGGGAAUUUUGGACAAUGGGCGAAAGCCUGAUCCAGCAAUGCCGCGUGAGUGAAGAAGGCCUUCGGGUUGUAAAGCUCUUUUGUCGGGGAAGAAACGGUGUGGGCUAAUAUCCCGCACUAAUGACGGUACCUGAAGAAUAAGCACCGGCUAACUACGUGCCAGCAGCCGCGGUAAUACGUAGGGUGCAAGCGUUAAUCGGAAUUACUGGGCGUAAAGCGUGCGCAGGCGGUUUUGUAAGUUUGUCGUGAAAGCCCCGGGCUCAACCUGGGAAUUGCGAUGAAGACUGCAAGGCUUGAAUCUGGCAGAGGGGGGUAGAAUUCCACGUGUAGCAGUGAAAUGCGUAGAGAUGUGGAGGAACACCGAUGGCGAAGGCAGCCCCCUGGGUCAAGAUUGACGCUCAUGCACGAAAGCGUGGGGAGCAAACAGGAUUAGAUACCCUGGUAGUCCACGCCCUAAACGAUGUCUACUAGUUGUCGGGUUUUAAUUAACUUGGUAACGCAGCUAACGCGUGAAGUAGACCGCCUGGGGAGUACGGUCGCAAGAUUAAAACUCAAAGGAAUUGACGG
This 585-nucleotide ribosomal RNA is filed under the name uncultured bacterium. Its description in RNAcentral is "bacterial SSU rRNA". It matches the Rfam family "Bacterial small subunit ribosomal RNA", at positions 338 to 916 of the family's 1533-position model. The record is from RNAcentral.